Long non-coding RNA from Caretta caretta (loggerhead turtle), 4915 nucleotides. RefSeq lists it as uncharacterized. NCBI's taxonomy places the organism in Eukaryota, Metazoa, Chordata, Testudines, Cheloniidae. The record is from RefSeq and is a predicted model, not a curated record.
AUCAACUAAAUACUUUACAUAAACCUUUUGUUUCCUGAAAUACAGUAUAACCCUGUUCAUAACAGCCACCAAGGGACUAAUAAUUCUAUGGACACUUUAACAGGUGGUUGCUUAACUCUGAUUAAUAGGUGAGCUCCCUUAUGGGAUCGGAGAUUUUACUGGCUGUUAGUAGACAAGACUACAGUUAGCAGGUAAUCACUAGGACACGUAUCACUCUAUUAUACUGAAGAGAAAUUGUGUGCUAUGGGCCAGAUUCUGAUCUUGGUUACACCGAAGUCCAGAAGAACUCCACUGAACUCAGUGGCAAGGGCAUCGGAACCUUUUGUAGAAGUGGGGGGGGGCAAGGGCAAAGUGGAUUCCAGUGUCCCUUCUCCCAUCCUGUGCUCCCUUCUUCCCUAGCUCUUGUGCUCUCUUGCAGUGCCCCCUGCACACUGGCACCUGGUGCAGUCUGUCUCCUACUCUCCAGCAGCUGCACUUAGCUUGCUGGGAACCAGCUGCACAGCCCAUCCUCCUUCUGCCCUUCCCACCAGCCGCCGUCUGGCCCCUGCAGCACUGUGAGCAACUCCCCCGCUGCGAAGCAUAGUCCCUGCCAGCGCCGCUAUGUACCUUCCCGAGGCUUGCAGUUUGGGGAGGCCAUGGCCCCUUGCCCCCCAUCCCCACCCACUUCUGGUUCUGGUGGUCAGUGGAAUUAUUAAAGAUUUACACUGUGGCUCAGUGUAACCAGGAUCUGGUGCUAUGGUUUUAUCCUCUUAAUUUGAUGGAUUUCUGGGGCUCUGAAAAGGGUCAGCUAAGGCUCUAUCCUGCAAUUAUUCAAAUGAGUAUUUCUAGGAAUGGGCCCUUAAUUAUGUUGCUUUUGUAAAACCAUGUAGGGUCAGACCUCUGGGGGUGUAAAUUAGCCUGCUGCAGAGAAAUCAAGGGGAUUUGGCCUAUACUGUACUUAAUGUCUUAUUGGGUAAGGUACUUGAAGAAUUUAAUUUAUAACUAAGGUUAAAGAAACUGGGAAGUGCUUCUUUCCAGUUCUGCACGAGCAGCUGUGUAGUGGAAUAGAUCUCAAUCCAUUAAUGGGAUACCACCUGAGAGAUGAGUCUUCAGGCAAGAUUAUGAUACGGCUUUUGAAAUACUAAAAAUGUGUGGAAUAAAAGGAGGGCUGGAAAACAAAUAAAAUGAUGUACAAAAGUAGGUGUUGAGGCUGGCACGUAUUCUGUGAAUGCAUUUCCAUUAUGUUUUGGUUUUGUUUUCAAGCAUGGGGGGUUUUUAUUAUGAAGUCACAUUUGCUUCACAGUUCUGUCAUCCUGGAUGAACGAUAUAGUUUAAAGGGGACUAUUGAUAUUUCUAUCAUCUUGUAUGUUCCUAGGACUAGAUGAACUACUUGAUGAGUCAGGUACUACCCAUCGUAAUGGUGGCUGUUUCUGGCCCCUAGAUCUGCAAGGCCUCCAUCUGAAAUGGGCCUUCAAAGGGCUGAGCUUUGAAUUUGUUCUUACAAGUAUUCAGAAAAAAAUCUCUUUGGGUGUUAAGCUCUAUGUGUUCUGAUAACAAACUCUGCUGUUGUGAGACACAUACAUCUACGUGUGUGCGUGUUGCUUAGCUGCACUUUUUGUAACAGAUUCAUUUUUAGAAUGCCAUUUUGCCACCCCUUCACCCAAAUGUGGACAAACCCUUUUAAUUUAAUUAGUUUUCUAUUGUAGCUAACUUCCUAACGUUUGCAGAUUGGUUACAUCACAUUAACUUAUUGUCUUCACAUAUCCACAGUGGCAUCCUAAUGUCUCUAAACAUAAUUGUCUGUAAAAAACCAAGACUGCUUACAGUAGAUAUGGACCUAAUUUUUUGAACCAUUACAUUCUAUUGACUUAACACUUAUACAAAUGUAAGGCGAUAAAUUGUGCAAGCACCUUUUCCCAGAAGAUCAAACAUGUUGGGUUUAGUUUGUGGGUCCAGGUGGCAGUGGCCUGUAGUAUACAGGGGGUCAGACUCGAUGACAGUCCUUUCUGACCUUGAACUUGAUUCUGUGCUUUGCAAACAUGUGUAUGUUCAGUGCUAGUUCCCCAACCGAUGUGGUGCAUAUUUAUAUAAGAUAGUAAUGAACGCAAAGGGUAAACAUUUUUUUUUCUCUCACCACUAAAGUGUAAAAGAAGGGAAGCUAAACUACAGACCUCUUGAUUGAAACUGUAGAGAUCUUACUAGCCCUCACCCCAAUACAAGAAUGUCUGCAAUAGGGCUUCACUAUCCCAUCCUGAGGUCACCUUGUGUCUACCAGGUUGCAAUGAAUCCAUUCAAUGUCAAGGCCCAGACCCUGAUCCAUAGCUGUUGCAAUUCAGCAAAGAUCCAUUGACUGCAAUGGUGCUAUGCUGACUUAUGCCAGCUGAAGAUCUGGCAUGGAGUUUUAGCCUUGCCUCUGUAGUUGAUUGUUUUUGUUGGGUUUUUUUGGGUUUGUGGGUGUGUGGUUUUUUUUUUUUUUUUUUUGGCAUUUCCACCAAAGCUCUGAGGUUCCACUCCAUUUUCUCUUCUGUCGACCAAAAUUCAUCUGUUUUACUUCCCAUUGUCCUUGAUGGCUUAUGACACAGCCUCCGUGUUUCAGGCUGAAGAGAACUUGACGGGGCUUGAUUCUGUCAAUGCUGCUUCUUAAUUAAGCCAAAAGGAUUGCUUUGCAUUUAAUAGCAAUGCCUUGUAAUGAAUUUGUAUGCUACAUAAGCAGUAACUGUCUGGAUCCCUAACAUGCAUAGGCGCUUUCGUUCCAAACCAUAGGCGUCUACCAAUUCAGCCAAAGGGAGCUCCUUUCAAAAAGUAGUAGGAGCAGCUGUAAGUCCCUAGUAGGCUGCCACUACAUGGCAACAUCGCUCCCUCAUGCGCACACACAGACGAACAGUAGUGCCUCUGUGGCACUAUCAAGCCAACCUACGUUACAUUAUCCACAUAACUAAAGUAGCGUAACUGAAGUCGACGUAACUUAGGUCAACUUACCACGGUGUCUACACGAGAUGCUGUCCCGCUGACUUACCUGACUCUUCUUGGAGAGCUGGAGUACCACAGUCGAUGGAAGAGCACUCUGCCGGUAAGUGUAGACACUGCUGUCCGGGAGCAUGAGAAAUGGAAGGAGUUUAAAUCCCAGAUGCUCUCUUGACAGUACAAAACACUAAAAGCAGAUUCUCAAGCCAUCUUAGAAAAGGCCUUUAGGUAGCUUGAAUACAUUUACAAUGCCUAAUUGUCUGGGACAGGUUUCUCAAACUUCGUUGCACCACAACUCUCCUCUGACAACAAAAAUUACUACACGAUCCCAGGAGGAUCUAAAGCCUUAGCCCACUCGAGCUUCGCUGCCUGGGCUGGGAGGGGCAAAAGCUGAAGCCCAAGAAUGUCUGCCCCAGGCGGGAGGCCUGUAACCAGAGCCCCACCAUCUGGGACUGAAGCCUUUGGGCUUUGGCCCUGGGGGGUGGGGCUCAGGCUUCAGCCCCAGCAAGUGUAACGCCAGCCUUGGUGAUCUCAUUAAAAUGAUUGCGACCCACUUUGGGGUCCUGACGCAAGGUUUGAGAACCGCUGGUCUAGGAUAUGAUAAAGAAAUAUUCUUAUUUUAAUUGAUGUAAAUGCUAGGAGCACAGGGCCUCCUUGUCUUCCACUCUCCCAGGAAGAAUUGGGUGGAGGAAAAUGGAAUGGAAUAUUUAUCAGAUUGCAUGUGAAAAGGGAUUGAAGUGGCACUAUUGUUUAUGGGUGGGAUUUUCAAAAACACACAAGUGACUUAGAUGAGGUCCCAGUGAUGAUUUUUUUUUCUUCUUUUAAUGGAGCUUGUGUUCCCAAGUUUUGUAUGCUUUUGAAAAUUCCAUCCUGUAAUGAAAUGUCCUGCUUUUUCUGUAAUCUGAUCUGAAGCAAAUUUCCUGGGAAGCAUGUGUUACCCAAACUAGUUACCAGAAUUUAUACCUGGUUGGAGAUGGAGACCUGUGAAUGAAGCAUGUCUAGCGGGGCCUUUCCAUAAAGAAGAGCAAUGCAGUCAUCUUUUGCUCAACGUGAUUGGGAAAACAGUCGCUGCAGUGGAGAGAUCUCUGAAGAACCUGAAAGGAUUUGAAGCAGUUGCACAAGUCACUUUUGGAUUUCUGAAAAUGACUGGGAGCAGAGGGGAAGAAUGGAAAAGAAGCAAACACUAAAUAUGAAACAUACCCACAAAUGUUGAAAAUGAACAAUUUUUCAUUUUGAACAAAAGCCAUUUUAAAUGAAAAUUUUCAUCCAAAAAAUGUUGACCUGCUCUGCAAAUGAGUUUUUUAAUCACUUCAUUCUCCACAUUUCCACAGUGUUACCAGACACACACAAUGACUGUCGAAGAGGAACUACACAAAUACUGCAAAAAUUAAUGAAGAGGAACUGUUUUAAGGAUCUCCAAAGCAGCAACUGAAUACAUGAGAAGAAUUGAAAGGGACCUUAUGUCAGUAGCUAAUUGGCAUAGUUGAGGUACACACACUCUCCACAGCAUGCCUGCUCCCUAUACCAAGGUGGGAAUGCAGCGGCUGAAUACAGGAGCCAGCUCCAUCACCUGCAGCUUUAUGCUAGCAGGGAACUCACUUCCACAAGCAGAAUGAUGCAAAAAGGCCAGAACAGACUGGAGAAUCCAGCUCUGUCACUCUCGAGGCAAUGAUAUCUGGUUGCAACUGGGUCCUUUGAGUCGAGAGGCCAGGUUCUGCCCCUGAGUCUCGCACUCACUGACUUUUGUCAUCUUGAACACACCACAAAGGCAUACAUUUUCAAAAGUUUUCACCAAUUUUAUUGUUGACACCCAAUUUGAGCCACUUACUGCCUGAUUUUUGGAGAUGCUCAAAACCCCCAACCCCAGCUGAUGUCAACUGGAACAGCUGGUGCUCCACACCCUUGAAAAUUGGGCUUUGGGGUCUCGAGCUGGGCAAGCAAAUAUAGGGGACACUUUUUUUAAAAAAGUGUG